GUUUGGUUUUAAGUAAUGUGUUGUGUGAUAUCAGACCCUACUCUCUCAAUCUUUCUCUCUUUCAAAUAAUUAAAUUAUGAACCCUGGGGUCUCACCAUCUCCCAUGACUCUAGUGACUGGAGGCCCAUGGGACACUGGCAGGGCCAUGUCGCAGCAAAGGGUAUAUGUGGAGGGGGGCAUAAAUUCUCGCUCACUUGCCGCCGUGCUGGGCUGUCACCUCAGAUCACUCACUGGCAUCUCCCGUGAGUCCAUGUGCAACCAGCAACCUGACAACAAGCGCAAAAUGUGCAGCUCAAGAAGUAAAGCUUGCUGAAACAGAAACAAGGCUGAAGACAUUCUGCUGGGAGAAGAUGGCGUAAAAGAGGCAGUAUUGAGUAAUAGUGACCUGCGCUGGCAGCAAUGUGUGUGUGUGUGUGUGUGUGUGUGUGUGUGUGUGUGUGUGUGUGUGUGUGUGUGUGUGUGUGUGUGUGUGUGUGUGUGUGUAAACACGGCCCUGACGUCUAUCCAGCUGCUCUCGUUCCCCUGGGCAUCACUGUCUCCUGCUUCACUAUCACUACCGUGGUCAGGUGUCAUCAGAAAUACAGCAGCCAUAUUGAACAGCUCUCGCCAGGAGCAGCGGGAACACUUCACCUGAGCCGAGGUGGCCUUACGACCUCCAGCCAUACGGAGGCCUGACUGUGUCACAGCUGAUGCGAGGAGGAGCGACUGGUCCCUCCCAGGGUGGACAGAGUCCGCAGGGCACACAUUUAGUAGAAAAAGAAGCAGAUGAAACAAUGAAAAAGCAGGUGACCUAUAGUAACCCAAGAGUGAGGAAAUGAAUAAGAGGUUUGGGACUUGCAAACAUUGCCAGUAACGCUCUUUGGAUGCUUCUCUUAAUGGAAGCAGCUCUGCUUUUGUCCCCAUAGCAACCCUAUGGAUGCAGAUUUUACAGUUAUGAAGACAUCUAAAGAUAUCCAGUUAUCCAAUGUAAUGAAGUUCACAUGUUUUUAGUGUGUUCAAAUAGUUUUUGGAGGCACUGUAAUGAAACGGUGAGAACAGUGACCUUGCUAAUCAAUAUUCAAGCUCUCUAUGAGCUUCUGUGGAUGGUCCUGUAGAGAAGGCCUGGUUCAUCACAAGGAUAUCCUGCAGAAAGAGGUCUGUGGUUAAUGAGAUGUGGAAAAUGUCUGUUGCAGAAACACAAGCCAAUGGAAAGUCUCUUUCCUUUGCUUGAGCUAUGAGGAUGUGCUCCACUGUUACUUCCUGAUUGAUUAGACCAUAUCCUUAUAAAGCAUGUCAACACACACACACACGUCUUUCGGUUUCACACUGGUGCUUUUCUACUUAGAGACACCAAGUCAGCUGAUUUGUUUCCUAAUUUUUUUUAAGUUAUUUGAAGUAGAAUAAAGUAACACUUUAUUUUAAGGUCUAGUUCUCACUAUUAAUUAGCAUGCAUAUUACUAGCAUAUUGACUGUUUAUUAGUAAUAAAGCGCAUAUUAAUCUAGUUAGUCUUAUUCUGCGUGAUAUUUUAGAUCUCUUGAUCCUACCAAUACCUAAAUGUAACAACUACCUUACUAACUAUUAAUAAGCAGCACAUUAGCAGUUUACUAAGUCAUAAUAGUUAAUUAAUAGUGAGAACUGGACGUUAAAGUAAAAAAUAACCUGUGACCAAUAUUUUAUAUUUAAAAAAUACUGCGAUAACUUUAUUAUCAAAAAUGUUUUUUACAGUAGUACAGUACAGUAGUG
Cyprinus carpio carpio is the source of this 1723-nucleotide long non-coding RNA. The record is from Ensembl. NCBI's taxonomy places the organism in Eukaryota, Metazoa, Chordata, Actinopteri, Cypriniformes, Cyprinidae.